GACCCUUGUACCUUAGUUACCAGCACGUUAUGGUGGGCACUCUAAGGAGACUGCCGGUGACAAACCGGAGGAAGGUGGGGAUGACGUCAAGUCAUCAUGGCCCUUACGGCCUGGGCUACACACGUGCUACAAUGGUCGGUACAAAGGGUUGCCAAGCCGCGAGGUGGAGCUAAUCCCAUAAAACCGAUCGUAGUCCGGAUCGCAGUCUGCAACUCGACUGCGUGAAGUCGGAAUCGCUAGUAAUCGUGAAUCAGAAUGUCACGGUGAAUACGUUCCCGGGCCUU
This 284-nucleotide ribosomal RNA is filed under the name uncultured Pseudomonas sp. Its description in RNAcentral is "partial 16S ribosomal RNA". It matches the Rfam family "Bacterial small subunit ribosomal RNA", at positions 1098 to 1382 of the family's 1533-position model. The record is from RNAcentral. Lineage: Bacteria; Pseudomonadati; Pseudomonadota; Gammaproteobacteria; Pseudomonadales; Pseudomonadaceae.